GUGUUCAUUGCAUGUCAGAUGUGAAACUCCCUCUACUUGUAGCGAAAAAAGCUGCGCUGAGGGAGGGUUAACCUAACCGAACUGCUCCGUGCAUGGUAUUUUUAGUAUCAUGUACGGCUCUUGGUCCUUAGUCGCUUGGAAGGAAGCGGCCAUCACAUCUGGCCAUUGCUUUUGUUUUUUU
This 181-nucleotide non-coding RNA is filed under the name Anagrus nilaparvatae. Lineage: Eukaryota; Metazoa; Arthropoda; Insecta; Hymenoptera; Mymaridae. The record is from RNAcentral.